UGGGGAAUAUUGCACAAUGGGGGAAACCCUGAUGCAGCGACGCCGCGUGAGCGAUGAAGUAUUUCGGUAUGUAAAGCUCCAUCAGCAGGGAAGAAAAUUGACGGUACCUGACUAAGAAGCCCCGGCUAACUACGUGCCAGCAGCCGCGGUAAUACGUAGGGGGCAAGCGUUAUCCGGAUUUACUGGGUGUAAAGGGAGCGUAGACGGCGACGCAAGUCUGGAGUGAAAGCCCGGGGCCCAACCCCAGGGCACUGCUUUGGAAAUACUGUGCUGCUGGAGUGCAGGAGAGGUAAGUGGAAUUCCUAGUGUAGCGGUGAAAUGCGUAGAUAUUAGGAGGAACACCAGUGGCGAAGGCGGCUUACUGGACGAUAACUGACGUUGAGGCUCGAAAGCGUGGGGAGCAAACAGGAUUAGAUACC
This 419-nucleotide ribosomal RNA is filed under the name uncultured bacterium. RNAcentral's name for it is "bacterial SSU rRNA". It matches the Rfam family "Bacterial small subunit ribosomal RNA", at positions 355 to 786 of the family's 1533-position model. The record is from RNAcentral.